AUAACAAUACAGGACUCUUUCGAGGCCCUGUAAUUGGAAUGAGUACACUUUAAAUCCUUUAACGAGGAUCUAUUAGAGGGCAGGUCUGAUGCAGAGCGACUGACCCGUGCAUGCUGCAGCUGAAA
RNAcentral lists this ribosomal RNA (125 nucleotides) under Pelobates cultripes (western spadefoot toad). RNAcentral's name for it is "SSU_rRNA_eukarya". The record is from RNAcentral. Lineage: Eukaryota; Metazoa; Chordata; Amphibia; Anura; Pelobatidae.